ACCCCUACAGGCAAUUUAUAUUUCAAGUGGCUACUCAAAUGAUUAAGUGGAGAACAUUAAGCAAAAGGAAAAAUGAGGGAAAACAAACUGGGACAAAAUACCAGAAGAGUAAUACAACACUCACAAAACCUGAAAGUGGAAAUUGGAAAGGGAGAAAUGCAUGUUUAUAUUUUGAAAAGCAGAGACAUGCUUAGGAUGUACAGCAAAUGUGAAGGAGUAGUGUCACAAUAGUAAUCAUAAACAAUUUACUUUUUUAAGUAGGAUGGUGGACAUACAUAGGUGGACAUAAAGAGACUACAGCUAAUCAGAAUAAAUACUGAAAAUCACAAGGGGAAGUGGAUGGGAUAGAGUCAUAGAGUGGGAAAGUACAAGGGGAAAUUGAGAAUGCAAAAUAAUUAAUAUAUGCCCAGUUGCUCUGUGGCUGUACCAACAAUGAAUGGACUUUUAGCGAAAACCAGACUGAUGAGCAAGUAGUACAAAAAGUAAG
Long non-coding RNA from Pezoporus flaviventris, 487 nucleotides. RefSeq lists it as uncharacterized. The record is from RefSeq and is a predicted model, not a curated record. The transcript has 2 exons. NCBI's taxonomy places the organism in Eukaryota, Metazoa, Chordata, Aves, Psittaciformes, Psittacidae.